UUUUGAUGCUAAGACUUUGUUAAUAAUAGUUUUGAGGCAUGGGCGAAACUUGGGACACGCGAACGUCGGUCUAAUCGAGUUUUCGGUUUGUGUAUAAUUAGGUUUGCGUGUUUAUUUUUGCAGCGAAAAGUUGGACAUAGAAAAGACGACCACCGGUCCUGGGGGAAUCCCGGCGGAUGCCAUCUACACGACCACCCCGAGGGGCGGCAGAAGUCCCGAAGCAAUGAAGACUCCAGUUCUGAGCACAUUCUCAAACCACCUCACUUGAUUCUAAGCGUCGCAGCACUGGUGCUUCCGGCGGGGAGAACUCGAUCGGCGCCGCACACAUUCUUUAGUUACCUAUUAUUAAUAUUAUUAUGAAUACCUUCGAAGAUCUUUCGAUUAAAACAAUAGUAUAAUAAAUAUGAAUAAUAGUAACUGAAAAGAGAGAAUAAAAAAAAAAGAUGUUAAUUAUUCGAUUAUUAAGAGACUGUAAAGCGCGUCGCGUCCUUCGCCAAACACCUCCGGCGCCAAUCUCCAUGGCAAUCGAAAUAAUAAACAUAUGAUGGUUUAUUUUGGUUGCUAUAGAGAGUUGUUAUAUAAGUAGGUGAUGGUGAUGUGUCGCGCGACGAGCUUAAUUUGUUUAAUUGAUUGUAUAAAUUUUUGUAAAGUUUGUUUUUUUUUCUUCUUUCUUUUUGUUUCGAUCGACCUUAGAGCUUAGUUUCUUCAACUGUUCAUCCAUUUGAUUAUUAUUAUUAUUAUUACUAUUAUCAUUUGAUUUGUACAAUGAUUAUCAAAAUAUAAACGAUAAUCGUUAUAAACAAACUAACACACCUCUCUAACAUGAGCUGUAAAUAUAGCCGACAACACUGACAUUCAAUGGUAGAAGUAGUGUAGAGGAGUGGAAAGGAGUUGAGAACGUCUACACAGGGUUGGCCGAUGAUGAAAGGGCGUCCAACAAACAGCCCAAGUAUUUCGAGUCGCCGUCCCCGACGUCUGUGGUCCAAGGGGCCGGGGCCGGGGCCUUCCCCUCAUCCUUCGCGACGACGGAUCCCCAAUACCAAAGAAAGUACCGUAGCUUUAACAAGUACGGCCCAAAGAAAUCCAAAGACCCGAGACGGUCCCUGCCGAAACCCCGACCCAAACCGCUCCAGCUCGAACACGAGAAAUACUACGACCACAUUUUCCCGAAACACUCCUACAACGACGUCUAUUAUCAGCCCAAUAGCUUGGACCAUGCCGAAUUGUAAAUAUUAAUACAUUCAACAACAACAACAGCAGCUACAACCAAAUAAAUAAACCGAAACUCAUCUUCGACAAACUGUAAAUAAGAAUUAUUACUCUCUAUAUAUAUAUAACUGUGUGUGUAUGUAUGUACGUAUGUAUGUCCCUAAUUUGCUCUAAUCACUAAGAAACUAACUCUAUAUCAGCGUCUUGCCAUCUGAUGCCUAGCCUAGCAACCCUAAUACAUUUACUAAAUUUCAAGUAAUCAAAGUAAUUCUCCAUGACAACUUGCUAUGGAGAUAACUCAAAGGCAUCGCGAAGAUGGCAACUCUGCUCUCUGUCUAUAUAUAUGUUUAUAUUUACAUUUAAUUUACCUUUCCCCAAAUAAAUUUAUCCCUUCAUUUAUUUUCUACUCCUCUCGAUUAGGGAUUUUUAUUUUCCGUUUCGUUUAUUUCUUUUUUAACGCUGUAUCACGUCUCUAAAGUAGCUAAAUUAUUACCAUAACAUAAUAUAUACAUAUAAAUUAUAAAUAAAUUAACAAA
This is an RNA transcript of Nicrophorus vespilloides, 1745 nucleotides long. RefSeq lists it as uncharacterized. Lineage: Eukaryota; Metazoa; Arthropoda; Insecta; Coleoptera; Silphidae. The record is from RefSeq and is a predicted model, not a curated record. The transcript has 2 exons.